GUCCCUGUAGCACAAUGGAUUGCGCAUUGGACUUGUAAUCCAAAGGUCGUGGAUUCGAAUCCCACUUGGGAUG
Non-coding RNA from Trichonephila inaurata madagascariensis, 73 nucleotides. NCBI's taxonomy places the organism in Eukaryota, Metazoa, Arthropoda, Arachnida, Araneae, Nephilidae. The record is from the annotation of a GenBank genome assembly.